AUACACGUUGCUAGGCAACGCCGUGUUGUUUCAGGAAAUGCUUGUCAAUGGCAGCCAUAUGGCGCUAAGCAUUUUUUCACCUUUUUUUCGCACUUACAAUCGUGUUUAACAACCACCAUAGAUAAAGUAGCUUGACAACAGCGGCCUACACUCGCUGUGCAGCCUCAUUCUUUGUUAGUAAACUAGACUUUUUCUUUAUAAAUUGCUGUAGGUUAGAGGAUUCGUGUGAGAAGCAUAUUUCUCAGACACCGAAGGAGUGGAAAAGGAAUAAAAAAAGCCUCUUCGCACGCUUCUCCAGAAAAUACAGUUUCAGUAACGCAGGAUACAGACAUGAGCAUUAAGGUUUAUUGACAUCGAUUCGGCGGGCGAGGUUACGCUAACGUCAGCACAGUAGCAUCCAGGAAGAAAAAAUAUCAUCCGCAGUAUGUAAGCGCACACAGCUGGCUGAGGAUCAUUCAGGCGUGAUCUCUCUGUCUUGGAAAUACAGACAAAAGUUCCCUGCUCGAAUUGAACGACAAGAAUAAAGUGACAAACCUCAGGUAUAUCUGUGCCUCCUGAGAUGGUGCCCGGGUCCAUGCAGCCACCUCAGAGUCCAGGUCAGCCUCGAGGUCAGCUGCCCAAGAUCAAAGCUACAAGGGGGAAAGAUGGGAAACAGCUUAAUAACAGCAGCUGCAGGAGCAAAAGAAGACACCCCAAGGAUUCAACAGGCCUACUAAAAAACAAAUCUAGACUAAAUGAAGAGGCAGAGCCCAGCUCUCAGCAUGGGGAAAGCCUGAGGUGGGAGGGAGCUCUGGAGGACCCCCAGGCUGAGGAGAAGAGGCUGGAGCUGUACAGAGCCAACAGGCGACAGCGUUACAUCUCACACAGAAAGACUCUGUUAAAGGACAACCAAGUUGUUUUUUCUAUGGAGAACAAAGAUUUAAAGGUUUUGUCCCAAUCUGAGCAACAGGUGUCUGCAACGUUACUCCAUUUGAGAUUGAAUUAAAGAAGCAAAUACGAGUAUUAUGUCAUCCCUGUUUUCGUUUGUUCAUCAGAUCUUCAGGAAUAGACACAGGACUCAACAUAAACUGAUACUUUUGCUGGCUCAGUCUCUCCUUGCCAUAAUGAUGUGGAUUUAGUUUAAGGCCUUACACAUACUGAGUCCAAGGCUGCUGUGCUGUCUCACAUGUAAAGUGUGUAUAUCGACAUACCUUAAGACAGAUUUUAGAUCCCUAUUUUUGAAGAUGAUUAUGUGAAGCAGUGGAAUACCACUACUGUACAGUAGAUGGCAGAAAAGACAACAAGGAAACAUUGUCAAAUCAGUGAAUGCAAGACAAGCAGUUCUGUUGUGCCUGAGAUGUUUUUAUUUCAUGAACAUACAGUAGUGUGAAAAAAUGACAGAAACUUCAAUUGACAAAUACAUUCUUGUCAUUCAAUCAGGUUUCUCUUUAUAUUGAUAACAAAGCUGUAACUAACAAGGUCAUUGUACCUUCACUUCUCAAUCUUAUGCGGGACAAAGGAAAAUAUUUCUCAAUAAACUAUAAUGGGAACAAAACUUGAUGUUUUUCUAACCUCAGGAAUUACUUGAGGUUUCUUGCUUUCUCACUUUCACUGAAAUAUGAAAGCAAAAAAUGUCCGUGCUUGCAAUAGCACAUAUUUUUUAAAUUAUUUUAUCUCAGUUUCUUAAAUUAAUUGGUGUGUUAUGUUAUGUAACAUGUUGAGAUUACAGAUUGCUUUCCAGUGAUAGCAGGUUGAUUUAUCUUGUUCUGUGAGAAAACAAAUAAUAAGAUCAUUUAGCUCAAGAAAAUAUAAAGUAAAUGUAAAGAUGUGAUCCACUGUGCUACAGUCACAGGACACCAUCAAGAAUUUUUUUUUUCUUAUGACGACAAGUUCUUUAUAUUGGGAUUUCGAAAUAACGAUGCGUGGCUAUUCUUAUCAUAUGUAACAAUGUGAAUAGUGUCAGUAAGACUUUAAUCUGUUCCUGGGUGAUACAUUUACAUUUGAAGCUGUAAUGUGACAGUAUAAUGCUUUGAAUGAAUCCUUGACUAGCAGGAAUAUCUGGUCAGAGGAAUACAAAUAUUUUUUUCCCCAAUAAAGCCUAAAAAAUGU
Long non-coding RNA from Labrus bergylta (ballan wrasse), 2088 nucleotides. RefSeq lists it as uncharacterized. NCBI's taxonomy places the organism in Eukaryota, Metazoa, Chordata, Actinopteri, Labriformes, Labridae. The record is from RefSeq and is a predicted model, not a curated record.